GCGCGCAUGAGGGAUAAUUUCGGGGAAUAUCUUGUUCUUUUCUUCAACGGUAGCAGUUUCAAGUUUCUGUUGAAUAAAACGACUCCCAUACUGAUCCGUACUGAAUUCAACAACAUGAUCAACAAUGUCAGAGAGUUCAAAAGACCUGGAUUUGUUGUUCUUGAACUCAUCUAAUAACGAUGACACAUAUAUUCUUUCCAUGUUGUUGCCAACAUCAGAGUUCCAUGACCCAAUGGAUCCUCCCAUUGAG
This 250-nucleotide unclassified non-coding RNA is filed under the name Hevea brasiliensis (rubber tree). Lineage: Eukaryota; Viridiplantae; Streptophyta; Magnoliopsida; Malpighiales; Euphorbiaceae. The record is from RNAcentral.